GCCCUCGUAGCUCGGGGGAUAGAGCACACGCCUCCGGAGCGUGGGGCGCAGGUCGAAUCCUGCCGGGGGCA
This 71-nucleotide transfer RNA is filed under the name Actinomycetota bacterium. Its description in RNAcentral is "tRNA-Arg". It matches the Rfam family "tRNA". From Rfam's summary of the family: Transfer RNA (tRNA) molecules are approximately 80 nucleotides in length. Their secondary structure includes four short double-helical elements and three loops (D, anti-codon, and T loops). The record is from RNAcentral. Lineage: Bacteria; Bacillati; Actinomycetota.